Molecule: ribosomal RNA, 333 nt
Filed under: uncultured bacterium
Lineage: Bacteria
Description: bacterial SSU rRNA
Rfam family: Bacterial small subunit ribosomal RNA
Source: RNAcentral
AGGGUUUGAUUAUGGCUCAGGACGAACGCUGGCGGCGCGCCUAACACAUGCAAGUCGAACGGAGCUGAGAGGAGCUUGCUUUUCUUAGCUUAGUGGCGAACGGGUGAGUAACGCGUGAGUAACCUGCCCUGGAGUGGGGGACAACAGUUGGAAACGACUGCUAAUACCGCAUAAGCCCACGAUCCGGCAUCGGAUUGAGGGAAAAGGAUUUAUUCGCUUCAGGAUGGACUCGCGUCCAAUUAGCUAGUUGGUGAGGUAACGGCCCACCAAGGCGACGAUUGGUAGCCGGACUGAGAGGUUGAACGGCCACAUUGGGACUGAGACACGGCCCAG